UGGCUCUGGCAUCGAUGAAGAACGCAGCGAAAUGCGAUAAGUAGUGUGAAUUGCAGAAUUCAGUGAAUCAUCGAAUCUUUGAACGCACAUUGCGCCCCUUGGUAUUCCAUGGGGCAUGCCUGUUCGAGCGUCAUCUACACCCUCAAGCUCUGCUUGGUGUUGGGCGUCUGUCCCGCCCCCGCGCGUGGACUCGCCCCAAAUUCAUUGGCGGCGGCCUUUGCCUCCUCUCGCGCAGCACAUUGCGCUUCUCGGGGAGGCGCGGCCCGCGUCCAGCAAGCACAAACACCGUCUUUGACCUCGGAUCAGGUAGGGAUACCCGCUGA
RNAcentral lists this unclassified non-coding RNA (323 nucleotides) under uncultured fungus. RNAcentral describes it as "partial contains 5.8S ribosomal RNA and internal transcribed spacer 2". The stretch from base 1 to 133 matches the Rfam family "5.8S ribosomal RNA", at positions 22 to 154 of the family's 154-position model. The record is from RNAcentral. Lineage: Eukaryota; Fungi.